UUGUUCACAAUGGGCGCAAGCCUGAUGACGCAACGCCGCGUGGAGGAUGAAGGUCUUCGGAUUGUAAACUCCUGUUGCUCGGGCCCAAAAGCUCUGACCUAACACGUCAGAGUCUGACGGUACCGGGUGAGGAAGCCCCGGCUAACUCUGUGCCAGCAGCCGCGGUAAUACAGAGGGGGCAAGCGUUGUUCGGAAUUACUGGGCGUAAAGGGCGCGUAGGCGGCCUUCUAAGUCAGACGUGAAAUCCCCGGGCUCAACCCGGGAACUGCGUCUGAUACUGGAGGGCUUGAAUCCGGGAGAGGGAUGUGGAAUUCCAGGUGUAGCGGUGAAAUGCGUAGAUAUCUGGAGGAACACCGGUGGCGAAGGCGGCAUCCUGGACCGGUAUUGACGCGAGGCGCGA
RNAcentral lists this ribosomal RNA (400 nucleotides) under uncultured bacterium. Its description in RNAcentral is "bacterial SSU rRNA". It matches the Rfam family "Bacterial small subunit ribosomal RNA", at positions 362 to 756 of the family's 1533-position model. The record is from RNAcentral.